GCCAGAAACGCCUUAGACACACACACACACACACACACUUUCAUAAAAGUACUUUGGACUCACGCGCACACAUAGUGGGUGUGUUAUACACACUCGGUAUCCGGAUAGUUUUAUUUAGUUGGUAAGAUUUGCACAUCCUUGAACUCUUAACAUAGGAGCACUGAGACACUGCACUCGCCCAAAUCCAUAAGCCAUAGGUGCUGGUAGAGAAAGGCUUGACAGUUGGUGGCUCUGGUCAGUCAGUCGGUUGCGGUUUCUUCACGAUGGGGCUCAUAUUCAGCUGGCUGAGGGGGCCAAGGCCCCUAGACUCCACACCCCUACUGGACGUCACCGUAGAGACACAGGCCAUACCCAUUCCUGAGGCCCCUGUGUCAGCUCUUGCUGAAUUUAAGGUCCAGGUCGAAAACUACGUAGCCAUUACCACAGAGAUCGCACAGACUCAUGACGAGCCGUGGCUCGAGGCUGAAGUGGAGGCUGAAAUAGUUGACGAGGUCCAAGCGAAAGUAGAGGCAGUAGUUGAGGAAGAACCAGAGCCCGAUCCCGUGGUCAAGGCCGAAGCUGCCCCAGUUGUAGAAGCUGAACUUGAAGAGUCGGGAAUCAAAGACGGAGACAAUCCUAUCGUCAAAGCUGAAGCCAUUCCUGAAGAUAUUGAUGUAGAAAAGCAUGAGACUGUUAUGACAGAGGCACCUGAAGAGGUUCCAGUGGAGACAGAAAUUAUCCCAGAAAAGCUGUGGAAGCCCGUGGAAGCACCGGUCGAAGAAGCCCCCGUAGCCGAGGUCGCUCCAGCAGAGCUCCUUGUAGAGGCCCCAGUAGACCCUGUCAUCAACAUAAUGGCUGACUUUGCCAUCACAGAAUCUGUUCCCGUUGCGGAGGCAGCCAUGGCUGAACAGGUGCCCGCAGUCCCAACGGAUUCACUUGACGCCCUAUCGGAGUUGCUGAACGACGUCACUCUAGUCACUGAGCCCGCCCCUGUCACAGCUGAUAAAGUCAUUGACGAGCCAGAGUGUGAGGAGAAAGAGGCUAAAGAGGAAAUUGAAGCCCAGAUGGAAAUCGAGGCUAAAAAGGAUGCCAUAGAUGAGAAGACGGUCCUUGACGUCAUCUCUGGAGAUUUAUCUGCCCCCGACUCUGUCAUCUCAGAACUGCAGUGUCACACGCAGCUCGCCGCCCCCAAGGAUAUCCCAGCAGAGGCCGUGCUGAAUGGACAGAUGGCAGCUGAGGUGGCCAUUGAGGGAUAGAUCUCUAUGGAUUUCCUCAGUCAGUAUGAAGGACUGAAGAGAGCCUGACGGUGAGCCGACCAGCGAACUUUACUUUUCAUUUUUUAGGGCUUAAAGGGACCGCUGGGAAAUUUGACAGACAUCCAACAAUCAGUGCCUUUCUUGCUUGGGUUCUUACAAAAAAAAUAUUAAACAAGUUUAAAAUGCGAUAUGAAGGUGGGGGAAUAAGACUCUUUUUUUAAAACCAGAAUGUGACAAUUUGGAAUAAACAAAUGAUGGCUUUCAUAGAUUUCUGUAUCCCAUUGCAUGUAUUGUAGAUUUGCAUCAAUUGUAAAUGGCAUGCAUUGUGUAUGAAUACUGUAGAAUUGAUGAAUGUGGCAAUGGCUUGUCUUCACAUUUGGACCAUGUUUGUAUGGAUGAGAGGGAUUAAUUCCUUGUACACGUUUCCUGUUUUAACCUGGUUUGACUCCUUUUUGCGAAGGGACAGUAUCGCAGUUUGUACAGUACCAUAGCUACCCCCUCUUCUCCCUAUCACCAUUGUGGUACUUUUGUUUUUUCAGGGACUGUAUGAUGACAGCUCCACCCUCUUUAUUGUGUAGUGUCAGUGUGUCUACAGUCCCAAGUCUGUCCUGGGCAAUGUGAAAUGGUGUGUAGUUUUAGGUCCUCUGACCAGAUGCUCUUAACAUUUAAUUACCUACGCUGCCAACUGAAAACAGAGUACGGGGCCUGUAGAUCCUGUUUUUCUUUUCUAAUUCUGUUUUCAUAGACCAUAUGAUGUGGUACAACCGCUGUUUGUGUUCUGUUACGUGCUUUGGAAGAGACAAUGGAGUUGUCAUGUAAUUGAGGAGCUGGGUUGGAUUUCAUUCACCUUUUUGAAUAAAGAUGUUCCUCACCAAGUCCUUGAUUCAGUUGUUGGCCUGUGUUCUACAUUCCUUAGUAAUCAUGUUUUUGUUUGUUUUAACACAUUCAGCUUGAAUUCCACAUUAGCAUAACGUUUGAAACUAUAAAUACUUC
RNAcentral lists this long non-coding RNA (2228 nucleotides) under Salmo salar (Atlantic salmon). RNAcentral's name for it is "lncRNA (ENSSSAG00000110599.1)". The record is from RNAcentral. Lineage: Eukaryota; Metazoa; Chordata; Actinopteri; Salmoniformes; Salmonidae.